Molecule: long non-coding RNA, 414 nt
Filed under: Callithrix jacchus (white-tufted-ear marmoset)
Lineage: Eukaryota; Metazoa; Chordata; Mammalia; Primates; Cebidae
Description: lncRNA (ENSCJAG00000083321.1)
Source: RNAcentral
GAUCACACCUCUUGUCUUGUAGGCAUGUCAAUACCAAUUAUUUGGGGUGCUGUGCAUGGUCCUGAACUUCUGCCUUGAAGACUAAGCCAAGUGAAUACAGACACAAUUGAAGUCAGCAAGGAACUGAUGACUAUCACUGAAGCCCAGAGCAAUUAGUUCUGGAAGCAAUUCAACCCACAUCUUCCUUUGGGCAAGGCCUCAGAGAGAAGUGUUAAUAUUUCAUAUUUUGAAGAUACCACAAAGAACAAAACUGGAAAGAAUUUGAAGAAUUGGGUAAACAUGCACCUUAUAGCUCUAUCUAUAACAGAAUCAGAAAUCACAAAAUCCAAUUUCAGUGCAGAAAACUAGACAUUUACGUCUGGUUUCAAGGAGCCUACGACUAUGUCCUUAUAUAAUGAACAAUAAAAAGUCUCC